RNAcentral lists this transfer RNA (86 nucleotides) under Clostridia bacterium. RNAcentral describes it as "tRNA-Leu". It matches the Rfam family "tRNA". From Rfam's summary of the family: Transfer RNA (tRNA) molecules are approximately 80 nucleotides in length. Their secondary structure includes four short double-helical elements and three loops (D, anti-codon, and T loops). The record is from RNAcentral. Lineage: Bacteria; Bacillati; Bacillota; Clostridia.
GCCGAAGUGGCGGAAUGGCAGACGCAAGGGACUUAAAAUCCCUCGGAGGCAACUCCGUGUCGGUUCGAGUCCGACCUCCGGCACCA